GAUGAACGCUGGCGGCGUGCCUAAUACAUGCAAGUCGAGCGAACGGACGAGAAGCUUGCUUCUCUGAUGUUAGCGGCGGACGGGUGAGUAACACGUGGAUAACCUACCUAUAAGACUGGGAUAACUUCGGGAAACCGGAGCUAAUACCGGAUGAUAUUUUGAACCGCAUGGUUCAAAAGUGAAAGACGGUCUUGCUGUCACUUAUAGAUGGAUCCGCGCUGCAUUAGCUAGUUGGUAAGGUAACGGCUUACCAAGGCAACGAUGCAUAGCCGACCUGAGAGGGUGAUCAGCCACACUGGAACUGAGACACGGUCCAGACUCCUACGGGAGGCAGCAGUAGGGAAUCUUCCGCAAUGGGCGAAAGCCUGACGGAGCAACGCCGCGUGAGUGAUGAAGGUCUUCGGAUCGUAAAACUCUGUUAUUAGGGAAGAACAUAUGUGUAAGUAACUGAGCACAUCUUGACGGUACCUAAUCAGAAAGCCACGGCUAACUACGUG
Molecule: ribosomal RNA, 497 nt
Filed under: uncultured bacterium
Lineage: Bacteria
Description: partial 16S ribosomal RNA
Rfam family: Bacterial small subunit ribosomal RNA
Source: RNAcentral